This 68-nucleotide transfer RNA is filed under the name Smaug warreni. RNAcentral describes it as "Asp-tRNA". Lineage: Eukaryota; Metazoa; Chordata; Lepidosauria; Squamata; Cordylidae. The record is from RNAcentral.
GAGGUCCUAGUAAAUCAAUUACAUAGCACUGUCGUAGCUAAGUUAUAGGCUUAACCCUAUGGACCUAA